RNAcentral lists this ribosomal RNA (643 nucleotides) under uncultured bacterium. RNAcentral's name for it is "bacterial SSU rRNA". It matches the Rfam family "Bacterial small subunit ribosomal RNA", at positions 28 to 664 of the family's 1533-position model. The record is from RNAcentral.
GUUGAACGCUGGCGGCGUGCUUAACACAUGCAAGUCGAUCGGUAACAGGUGUAGCAAUACAUGCUGACGAGAGGCGGACGGGUGAGGAAUAUUUGGGAAUCUGCCCAUCAGCGGGGGACAACCCGGGGAAACCCGGGCUAAUACCGCAUACGCUCUACGGAGGAAAGCCGGGGACCGCAAGGCCUGGCACUGAUGGAUGAGCCCAAAUCGGAUGAGCUAGUUGGCGGGGUAACGGCCCACCAAGGCGACGAUCCGUAGCUGGUCUGAGAGGACGAUCAGCCACACCGGAACUGAGGCACGGUCCGGACUCCUACGGGAGGCAGCAGUGGGGAAUAUUGGACAAUGGGGGAAACCCUGAUCCAGCGACGCCGCGUGGGUGAAGAAGGCCUGCGGGUUGUAAAGCCCUUUCGGUAGGGACGAAAGCUCUUGCUCUAACAAAGCAGGAGGUUGACUUAACCUACAUAAGAAGCACCGGCUAACUCUGUGCCAGCAGCCGCGGUAAUACAGAGGGUGCGAGCGUUAAUCGGAAUUACUGGGCGUAAAGCGCACGUAGUCGGCUUGUCAAGUCGGGUGUGAAACCCCCGGGCUCAACCUGGGAACUGCAUCCGAAACUGACUUGCUAGAGUAUGGGAGAGGGAGGCGG